AGGAGUGAUCAUACAAGUACUAAUACACCGGAUCCCAUUGGAACUCCGAAGUUAAGUGUGCUUGGGUGAGAGUAAUACUAAGAUGUGUAAUGACCCGAAUUUCCAUUAAAGAUAUUA
RNAcentral lists this ribosomal RNA (117 nucleotides) under Cephalotus follicularis. The record is from RNAcentral. Lineage: Eukaryota; Viridiplantae; Streptophyta; Magnoliopsida; Oxalidales; Cephalotaceae.